This 658-nucleotide long non-coding RNA is filed under the name Rattus norvegicus (Norway rat). RNAcentral's name for it is "long non-coding RNA NONRATT030209". Lineage: Eukaryota; Metazoa; Chordata; Mammalia; Rodentia; Muridae. The record is from RNAcentral.
CGGAAUUGCGGUGUGGAACAUGGAUGUUAGCCGAGAAGAGGCUCCUCAGUGGUUAGAAAGCGAUUCCUGUCAGAAGUGUGAGCAGCCCUUCUUCUGGAAUAUAAAGCAGAUGUGGGACACGAAGACACUGGGGCUGAGGCAGGAAGUGUGGGCAGGCCGUCUGUGGGAAGUGCAGCAGCAAGAGGUCCAGCUACCCUGUCAUGGGCUUUGAGUUCCAGGUUCGAGUUUGUGAUUCCUGUUAUGACUCCAUCAAAGAUGAGGACCGCACUUCUCUAGCAACGUUUCAUGAAGGAAAACAUAACAUUUCCCAUAUGUCCAUGGACAUUGCGAGGGGACUGAUGGUGACCUGUGGGACAGAUCGUGUUGUAAAGAUAUGGGAUAUGACUCCUGUGGUGGGCUGCAGCCUGGCAACUGGAUUUUCUCCACACUGAUCCUGGAGCUGGAUGUAGUCAUGUGAGCACGUGGAGAAAACAGUGUGACACCACCCCAUAGAUCACAUCUGCUCUGGACCUGAGGCGGACACACCAUGGACAAGACACAUACAUUUCAUCUUGCUGUUCAGUCGACAAGGGAAGCUGCGGCUGCAGAAAUGGUACACCACGCUCCCUGACAAAGAGAGGAAGAAGAUCACCCGGGAGAUCAUCCAGACCGUCCUCUC